CAGUGAAGUUUGGACUCCCGGCUGCCAAGUCAUUGAAGGUCUGAGACUCCUCCUUCAUCUGCAGAAUGGGGACAACUGUGAAACUGCCAUACAACUCCUUUGCUUCCAUCCCACUGUCUGGAAGUUAGCCCCACUCCACAUCUACCUCCUGAGAUGCUAGGAAUAUAGCCUCUACUUCAGAUAUCCAACCAAAGACUGGAGGUUUUAUCCCUGAAGAGGAGGGAGAGAACAGAUACUAAGCCUACGUCCUCCCACCAGAGUCUCCCCACUGGCUCUGGGCAGAGCUGUUUCCUCACCAACUUAGAAGUUCCUACUGCCUGAGAAGCUGAUGUUUGUGUAGCCUGCAAGAGUGAUGUGGAGAGGGACACAUCC
Molecule: long non-coding RNA, 372 nt
Organism: Lontra canadensis (Northern American river otter)
Lineage: Eukaryota; Metazoa; Chordata; Mammalia; Carnivora; Mustelidae
Exons: 3
Source: RefSeq, a predicted model, not a curated record